AUUGCCCCUUGAGGUAUUGGCUGCUGUGUCCCACGUGUGUCAGUAGGUGGCAGAGAGAAGAGAGGCCAUGUCUACACUCAGCUCAGUGUUCUGACCUGUGAACAUCUGAAUGAUUAGCAAUUCCUGAAAAA
This is a small nucleolar RNA of Meriones unguiculatus (Mongolian gerbil), 131 nucleotides long. The record is from Ensembl. Lineage: Eukaryota; Metazoa; Chordata; Mammalia; Rodentia; Muridae.